RNAcentral lists this long non-coding RNA (14441 nucleotides) under Medicago truncatula (barrel medic). RNAcentral describes it as "long non-coding RNA (MTRU_LNC000821)". Lineage: Eukaryota; Viridiplantae; Streptophyta; Magnoliopsida; Fabales; Fabaceae. The record is from RNAcentral.
UUGCCACUACCCUUUUUUGUGCAUUCAGCAUGAGACCAACAUAACUUAGGUGGUUCCUCAACCUUCUUCUUAAGCUCUGCAUAUGAACGAGGAUCAUAACAUUCAUACAUAGGAACAACUGGAUGCCAAGUUAACGCGCAGACACAAUCGCCAUUACAUCCAUAAUCCGGAUUGCAAGGAACACGGAAACAAAAUGCUGCUUCAACUUUCUUCAUUGGGAAUAUCACUGUAAAUGAUAAAGCUAAUUAACGUUUGAACAACAUACACUUAGUCCUAUAGAGGUGUCCGUGCUUCAUAGCUCUUUUUUAUAUCUUUUUAUUUUUCGUUAUCGUUUAUAUAUAUUUUAAAAGAGUCGAACACAAUUCAAACCUUCUAAUUCUGGUGUUUUUUUCACCUUCAAAAUUGGCAUUAGACCAAAGUCUCUGAAGUUUUACUUAACUGUGUCAGAGAAUAAAUCAUAAGGCUUUGUUUGGGAGUUUGGAGGGAAAGAGAAUGGAGGGCUUUGGGGGGUUGGAAAAAUAUAGAAAAAUGGACAAAAAAUUUACAUUUUUUGAAAGAGCAGUUUUUUAGAGAAUGAUAAACUAAUACUUAUGAUUAAUAUACUUUUAAUUUUAAGAAUAUUAUAACAAGAUAGAUUGAAUUUGAAAAAUUCAUAUAAACCCUCUGUAACCCCCCAAAACCCUCCCCCAAUACAAUUUUUGAGUUUCCCCAGAUGAGGGAAAUUUUUUAUUAUGAGUAAAAAAUUAACCUCCAAAGCCCUCUCCUCCCAAUGUCUUCUAUUUCUUCCACUUGCUCCUUCCUUUUUUCGAAACCCUCCCCUCCCCUCCCCUCCAAAUUCCCAAACAAAGCCUAAGGAAAAUAUGACUUCCUCUACUACCUCCGUUUCCAUAAAUGAUUCCAAAAUGAUUCAUAUAUGUCUAGACUACAUAUGACCAGUAGUGAUGUAGAAUAGUUGGCUUGAUGGAAAAACAAACUAUACAGUAUCUGCAUAUACAUGCCACACAUUACUACAAAACUAGUGACGUAAAUUAGUGACAGAAAAAAUAAAUCCCUAACCAAUUUUGUCCUUGCAAAAUUAAGUAAUUUAAUUAGAGAGGAAUUUUAUGUUUUUCAUCUCUUAAUUUUCCUAGAUAAUUUUUGCUUUUUAGAGACCUAUGACGUGGCUUCAAAGUUGAAAGAUAUACUUAAUAAAUUAAUAUUUAGGACAGUGGAUAAUUAAUAAUUGGGAGUAGAUUCCGAUUAAUUUUUCUCAUGAUUUCAAAAAAAUAAGUAGAAAUGCAUGGUAUAUAUAGGUGAGAAAGAUCAUUGAAAUACAUACAGAAUGCGGCAAGCAUAAAGACAGCAAAAGGAGCAAGCUUAACAUAAGUCAUUGUUCUAUCAAAAGAAAGAACCAGCUACAAAAUACUAUUGUUUGUUAAUUAUGAGCUCAACUUUGUAUUGCACUAGUUCAUUUCUUGCAUUCAACAAUUUAUAGACAAAAUAAAAGUUAAUUGCUUAUAAAAAAAAUAAAUAAAUAAUUCAGAAGCGAGGGACACGACGUUAAUUGCUUAUGAAAUAAAUAAAUAAAAAAUAAUUGGUCCCCUCUCAUCAAAGAAAAUCUUCUAUCUGCUUAUCUAUAAUUUAGGGUAGAAAAAACACAAGCUUCUAUGUGGUUGAUAGUAGUUUUGCGUAUAAGGCAUCUAUCCUCAAUGGUGCUGCACCAUCCGGUAAAUGAGCACAAUAAUUACCACUACCCUUUUAUGUGCAUUCAGCAUGAGACCAACAUAAGUUAGGUUGUUCCUCAACCUUCUUCUUAAGCUCUGCAGAUGAACGAGGAGGACCACAUAUAUAUUGAGGAACAACUGGAUGCCAAACGUACUCGCAGACACAAUUGCCAGUACAUCUAAAUGCAUAAUCGCAAGGAACACUGAAACAUAUAGCUGCUUCAACUUUCUUCAUUGGAAAUAUCACUAUAAAUGAUAAAGCUAAUUAAGGUUUGAACAACAUACACAUACCAUUAUUAACAUUAUUAUAAAAAUAAAAUUAGUGACCAAUUUUAAAUUUAAAAAAAAAAACUGAAAUUUAUUACUUCCAUCGCUAAAUUUAGUAGAAAAUGAUUUCAUAUUUUCCCUCACUUAAAUUUUGUGGAUAAUUUAAUUAUUCUCAGCCGAGGACAGAAGCAAAAGCAUAUACAAUCCUUUUUGUAGACAACUUGUUGUUGUAUAUAUCUUUAGAUUGAGAUUAGGAAGUCUUAUCGGUUGAGGCACGGAAAUCUUGGACAAGGUUGUCUUAGUGUCGUUGUAAUCAGAAUUUAAUUACAGUGUUCAAAUCUCUUGGAAGUGCAGGGUGAACCACGAUAAACACUAUGUGUUGUCUCUUUCUCGUAUCUUUGUGUUGUCUCUUUUUCGUAUCUUUUUAUUUUUCACUAUCGUUUAUAUGUGUUUUAAAAGAUAUUUCAAAAAGAGUCAAACACAAUUCAAACCUCCUAAUUCUGGUAUUUUUCUCACCUUCAAUUGGCAUCAGAGCAAGGUCUCUGAAGUUUUACUACUUAACCGUGUAAGAAAAAUCCUAAGAAAAACAAUAUUCGUAUUUAUUUAUAUCUCAACAAACAUACACUAAUUUGUCCUUCCAUCAAAUUCAUAUUACAUUAAGGACAACUUAGUCAAAAAAACUGCUUUACUUUAAUUAACUGCGGAUUUGAUCUUCCAUAGGCAUAGAACGUAACAAAGCUAUGCUUUAAUUAUUACAACAAACCCCACAAUUGUUAUCUUGUACUCUUCUUUUGAAUUAUAAUGAAAUGGUAAUGAGAUUCAAUUGUUCAAAUUUUGAUUCAUCAAUUUACCUCAUUGUAUUAUUGUACAAUUUUCUUGAUUACUUGAAAAUGUUAAAUAGGCUUGGAUCUCAUCCCAAAAGUUAGCUCAAAUGAUGAGGNAAUUCAGAAGCGAGGGACACGACGUUAAUUGCUUAUGAAAUAAAUAAAUAAAAAAUAAUUGGUCCCCUCUCAUCAAAGAAAAUCUUCUAUCUGCUUAUCUAUAAUUUAGGGUAGAAAAAACACAAGCUUCUAUGUGGUUGAUAGUAGUUUUGCGUAUAAGGCAUCUAUCCUCAAUGGUGCUGCACCAUCCGGUAAAUGAGCACAAUAAUUACCACUACCCUUUUAUGUGCAUUCAGCAUGAGACCAACAUAAGUUAGGUUGUUCCUCAACCUUCUUCUUAAGCUCUGCAGAUGAACGAGGAGGACCACAUAUAUAUUGAGGAACAACUGGAUGCCAAACGUACUCGCAGACACAAUUGCCAGUACAUCUAAAUGCAUAAUCGCAAGGAACACUGAAACAUAUAGCUGCUUCAACUUUCUUCAUUGGAAAUAUCACUAUAAAUGAUAAAGCUAAUUAAGGUUUGAACAACAUACACAUACCAUUAUUAACAUUAUUAUAAAAAUAAAAUUAGUGACCAAUUUUAAAUUUAAAAAAAAAAACUGAAAUUUAUUACUUCCAUCGCUAAAUUUAGUAGAAAAUGAUUUCAUAUUUUCCCUCACUUAAAUUUUGUGGAUAAUUUAAUUAUUCUCAGCCGAGGACAGAAGCAAAAGCAUAUACAAUCCUUUUUGUAGACAACUUGUUGUUGUAUAUAUCUUUAGAUUGAGAUUAGGAAGUCUUAUCGGUUGAGGCACGGAAAUCUUGGACAAGGUUGUCUUAGUGUCGUUGUAAUCAGAAUUUAAUUACAGUGUUCAAAUCUCUUGGAAGUGCAGGGUGAACCACGAUAAACACUAUGUGUUGUCUCUUUCUCGUAUCUUUGUGUUGUCUCUUUUUCGUAUCUUUUUAUUUUUCACUAUCGUUUAUAUGUGUUUUAAAAGAUAUUUCAAAAAGAGUCAAACACAAUUCAAACCUCCUAAUUCUGGUAUUUUUCUCACCUUCAAUUGGCAUCAGAGCAAGGUCUCUGAAGUUUUACUACUUAACCGUGUAAGAAAAAUCCUAAGAAAAACAAUAUUCGUAUUUAUUUAUAUCUCAACAAACAUACACUAAUUUGUCCUUCCAUCAAAUUCAUAUUACAUUAAGGACAACUUAGUCAAAAAAACUGCUUUACUUUAAUUAACUGCGGAUUUGAUCUUCCAUAGGCAUAGAACGUAACAAAGCUAUGCUUUAAUUAUUACAACAAACCCCACAAUUGUUAUCUUGUACUCUUCUUUUGAAUUAUAAUGAAAUGGUAAUGAGAUUCAAUUGUUCAAAUUUUGAUUCAUCAAUUUACCUCAUUGUAUUAUUGUACAAUUUUCUUGAUUACUUGAAAAUGUUAAAUAGGCUUGGAUCUCAUCCCAAAAGUUAGCUCAAAUGAUGAGGGUACUCAAGCAUAUUUAUACAUCCAACAGCCUAAGAACUUGAGCGAUAUAGGACAAAUAACAAACUACAAAUAAUUCAAAACCAACUUCAACAAAAACAACAUAUAUUAAUUAAACAACAGGCCUAACAAAAGCAUAAGAUAUGCUGAUGAAAGGAAAACCAUGAACAUACAUCAUUAUUGAAAUUUGGAUGGAUAUUAAGAAACCCAAUUAUUUAAAGUUGUACAUAAAUGCAUAAUAUCGAUAUUAAGCAGGAAGAGACAUCUUCAAGAAGUCUUUUUCGAAUUUCAAGCUAGAGGCCAUCUUGAAUGUGUUUACUGCUUCAGAGAUAGAGGGAAAACACAAGCCAUAUUUGAGAUUGGAAUUAGGAAAACGAGCACAAUAAUUCCCACUACCCUUUUCUGUGCAUUCAGUAUGAGACCAACAUAACUUAGGUUGUUCCUCUACCUUCUUCUUAAGCUCUGCAGAUGAAUGAGGAGUGACACAUUUAAAGUUAAGCCGCGGAGGAAGUGAUGCAAUAAAGGGUUCGCAGUCACAAUCGCCACUACAAUAAAGUCGAGGGUAAGGGCAAUAAGCGCCACAUUUAUCUGCUUCUACUUUCUUCAUUGGGAAUAUCACUGUAAAUGAUAAAGCUAAUUAAGGAUUGAACAAUAUACACAUACCAUUAUUAACAUUAUUAUAAAAAUAAAAUUAGUUACCAAUUUUAGAUUAAAAAAACUGAAAUUUAUGUGUUUUAAUAGCUUUCAAAAAGAGUCAAACACAAUUCAAACCUCUCAAUUUUGGUGUAUUUCUGACCUUUAGUUGGCAUCAGAGCAAAGUCUCUGAAAUUUUACUUAACCGUGUAAGAGAAAUGAUCCUAAGAAAAAUAUAACCUCCGUUACCUCCAUUCCAAAAAGUGAUUCCAAGAAUGAUUCAUAUAUGUCUAGACUACCUAUGAUCAGUAGUGAUGUAGACAGAGACGGAUCUAGACAUUCGGUAUAUGUGUGACUAAAAUUUUAAAAAAAAAUAAUGCAAACAAUAUGAAAAAUAAGAAAUAACAUUGUUUGAUACAAUACAAUUUCAAUGAAAAUGGUCUCCUAUCCAUUUGUUGAAAAUGCGAAAAUAACGGCGCCGCUAAUUUUUAAAAGAACAUUUCUUUCUAUAUAAGUUACAGUAUAAGAUAGUCAUUUAACCACAAAUCACUUAUUUUGUUGCAUAGUUGAUUGUUCACAAUUUUUGUAGCUGAAAAAACACGUUCAACACUUGCAAUUGCUACCCACAAUAGCAACUAACUUAAAAGCUUAUAAACCAUAACAAAUAUGUUGCACUUAUUUGUUUCGUGGGAGAGAGAAAUGUUUUGAUAUAGUUGUAUGUUUUAUUUAUUAAAAAAAAAAAAAAUAAUUGGGGAGUGGAUGUGUGCCUUUAGCCACACAUGGCCACACAAUGCAUCCGCCUCUGGAUGUAGAAGAGUUGGCUUGAUGGAAAAAACAAACUAUACAGUAUCUGCAUAUACAUGCCACACAUUACUAGAAGAAAAAAAACAAAACUAGCGACAUAAAUUAGUGACAAAAAGAAUGAAAUCCCUCACCAAUUUUAUUCUCGCAUAAUUUAGUAACCUAAUUAAAGAGGAAUUUUAUGUUUUUCAUCUCUUAAUUACACUAGCUAAUUUUUGCAUUUUAGUGACCUAUGACGUGGCUUCAAAGUUGAAACAUAUACUUAAUAAAUUAAUAUUUAGGACAGUGGAUAAUUGAUAAUUGGGAGUAGAUUCCGAUUAAUUUUUCUCAUGAUUUCGAAAAAAUAAGUAGAAAUGCAUGGUAUAUAUAUAGGUGAGAAAGAUGGUUGAAAUACAUACAGAAUGCGGCAAGCAAGAAGACAGCCAAAGGAGCUAGCUUAACAUAAGUCAUUGUUCUAUCAAAAGAAAGAACCAGCUACAAAAUACUAUUGUUUGUAUUGCACUAGUUCAUUUCUUGCAUUCAACAAUUUAUAGACAAAAUAAAAGUUAAUUGCUUAUAAAAAAAAUAAAUAAAAAAUUCAGAAGCGAGGGACACGACGUUAAUUGCUUAUGAAAUAAAUAAAUAAAAAAUAAUUGGUCCCCUCUCAUCAAAGAAAAUCUUCUAUCUGCUUAUCUAUAAUUUAGGGUAGAAAAAACACAAGCUUCUAUGUGGUUGAUAGUAGUUUUGCGUAUAAGGCAUCUAUCCUCAAUGGUGCUGCACCAUCCGGUCAAAUGACCGUGCCAUGUAAAUUGUAUCUGCAUGUCUCAAGUGCAGUUAAAUAAUCUAUCUUCAGAGAUUACAAUCGUGAUUCUAUCAUAUUUAACACAAAGUUGAAGUAGUUAACUCAAGAGAAUGUUGUAGACAUUGUGUGUCAAGGAUUUUGAUCGCAAAGUGGAUCUAUUAUUCAACAAAUACAUUUUCCUUUAGAUUAACAAUAGUCUUCCAUGGCCAAUUCCAUACAGCGGAUGAUCUUCCAUGAAAAUUUCGAUUAUGGAUCUUGCCUUAAUUUCUGCUAAGAAUCUCAUAUCGGAUAGGUGAUGGCCUGAUAAUGUGUUUAUAAGUGGGGGCAAUCCUCACCUCAUAAGCCGGUUCUGUACCAGUCUUGAUAGGAACAAAAUGCGCUGACUUCGUCAACCGAUCAACAAUCACCCAAAUCGAAUCGAAACCCUUACUAGUCUUAGGCAACGCUCCAACAAAAUCCAUAGAAAUGCUAUCCCACUUCCACUCUGGCACAAACAACGGUUGCAUCAAACCCGACGGUCUCUGAUGUUCAAUCUUCGAUUUCUGACAAACCAAACAAGCAUAAACAAACUCAGCAAUCUCCUUCUUCAUUCCAGGCCACCAAAACAACCUUUUCAAAUCCUGAUACAUCUUAGUUGCUCCUGGAUGAAUACUCAAACUACUUCUAUGACCUUCGUCCAAAAUUUGCCUCUUAAGCUCAAACACAUCCGGCACACAAACUCGAUCACGAAACAUCAAAACACCAGUCUCACCCAAUCUAAAGUCUCCACCUUUUCCUUGAUUAACCAACGUCACUCGAUUCACGAGUUCCAAAUCUUCCUUCUGACCAUUCUUGAUCUCUUCCAAAAUAUUGCUUGUCAACUUCAACAUACCCAACCUCACACCAUCAGGUGUCAACUCACUAACCAAACUCAAGUCUCGAAACUGCUCAAUCAAUUCCAACUCUUUAACCAUCAAAGCAGACAUAUGCAAAGUCUUUCUACUCAAAGCAUCCGCAACAACAUUAGCCUUUCCGGGAUGAUAACUCAACUGAAAAUCAAAAUCCUUAAGAUAUUCCAACCAUCUUCUCUGCCUCAUAUUCAACUCUUUCUGAUCAAACAAAUACUUCAAACUCUUGUGGUCACUGAACACCUCAAACUUAGAACCAUACAGAUAAUGUCUCCAAAUCUUCAAUGUAUACACAACGGCUGCCAAUUCCAAAUCAUGAGUCGGAUAAUUCUUCUCAUGCACUUUCAAUUGCCUCGAAGCAUAAGCUACAACCUGACGAUUCUGCAUAAGCACACCACCAAGACCCAUCUUAGAAGCAUCACAAUACACAACAAACGAUUCCUUCGGAUUCGGCAAAAUCAACACCGGAGCUGAAGUCAACCUCUUCUUCAACUCUUGGAAACUCUUCUCACACUUGGCAUCCCAAACAUAAGCCUGUCCUUUCCGAGUCAACUGCGUCAAUGGCAACGCCAACUUAGAGAAUCCCUCAAUGAACCUCCGAUAAUAACCGGCCAAACCAAGAAAGCUUCUAAUCUCAAAAACAGACUUAGGAGACUCCCACUGCAACACUGCAUCAACCUUGGAAGGAUCCACAGAAAUACCACCCUUAGAAAUCACAUGACCAAGGAAACUCACUUCCUUCAACCAAAACUCACACUUAGACAACUUGGCACACAACUGGUUCUCUUUCAAGACUUGCAACACAAUCCUCAAAUGCUCAGCAUGCUCUUCCUCAGACUUUGAAUACACCAAAAUAUCAUCUAUGAACACCACCACAAAACGGUCCAGAUAAGGAUGAAAUAUUCUAUUCAUGUAUUCCAUAAAGACACCUGGUGCAUUAGAUACUCCAAAUGGCAUCACAGAAUACUCAUAGUGUCCAUACCUCGUUCGGAACGCAGUUUUGGAUAUAUCUUCCGCCUUUACUCUAAUCUGAUGAUAUCCUGAUCUCAAAUCAAUCUUACUAAACACCUCUGCACCCACUAGCUGAUCCAUCAAAUCAUCAAUCCUUGGAAGUGGAUACCGAUUCUUAAUCGUCACCUUGUUCAACUGUCGAUAAUCCACACACAACCUCAUGCUUCCAUCUUUCUUCUUAACCAACAACACUGGAGCACCCCACGGUGAAACACUCGGUCUAAUAAACUGCUUCUCAAGCAACUCUUCCAACUGAUUCUUCAAUUCACCCAACUCCGAUGCAGACAUCCGAUACGGCGCAAUCGAAAUAGGACUCGUGCCUGGUACCAAAUCAAUUGCAAACUCAACUUCCCUCUCCGGCGGUAACUCGGUAAUAUCCUCUGGAAAAACCUCAGGAAACUCUUGCACUACCGGCAAAUCACUAACCCCUUUCUCACCACCAACCUUCAAAGAUGCAAACAUCAUAAACACACAAGCCUCACCAUCUAAAGACUUCUUCACUUGCUCCGCGGUCAAAAACUUCCUAUCUAACUCUUCUACCGGCUUAGAAAAAGUCACACUCCUAGUCAAACAAUUAAUGCUAACCCCAAAAGCUAACAACCAAUCCAUACCAAAAAUAACAUCCAUAUGCUUCAACGGAAGACAAACAAGAUCCAACUCAAAAUCAACAUCACCAAAAUUAACAGAACACUUAACACAAACCACAACCAACUGAGCCUCCGCAACCAAGAUAUGUUCCCUUGCCAGACUAACACAAACCACUAACCGAUAAGAAAACAACACAACAGAGCAAGUGCCGAAGGUACUAAACUACCAUUCGCCCACAACAGGGAAAAACAACAAAGAUUAAUCUAAACACGACUGACCAUGGCUCUGAUACCAACUUGUAACACUCUUAUUUCUAUUAAAGCAAUUAAACAUACGAAUAAUACAUUUAUUCAAGAAAUAGAGGCUACGCCACAUUCAAAAUUCAAAAAAAAUCAAUAAACAUGUAUAUAAACCUCAACAGUCGCAGCGGAAUAUAAACCAGAGUAAUCCAAAUAUACACGUUAUGAAUAAUAAAUUACAUCAACAUAGAUGCAUCUCAAAAAUCCCAACAAACGGGUAAUCUCCAAACAUAACAAAAAUCCAAAAUAAAAGAUAAUCUAGACCGACACAACUAAGCCUAGAUCAGAGCCGACUAAACAUCUAAACACCGAUAUCGGAGAAAGCUCUCGAUAUCCACCAAGCACAAAACUCAACAAGCAUCUAAACCUGCACAACAUCUACCCAUCCAUACAGAUAGGCAGGCGGUCCAUAACAGAUCCACUGGGUGUAAGUAUUACAUUAUCAUAAUCCAAAUAACAGUUAACAUGAAUAUUUCAAUUUAAACAUCAUGCACUUGAUCAAUAAUAAUAUUCUCAUAUCAAUACUUACAUCAAAUCCCAAUAUCUCACAUUAAUAAUCAUCAAUCACAUGUGUCAUGAACAAAUAUCAAUUCACAUUUAUUCAUACACAAUCACCAAUCAUAUACAUCAUGAACAAUCAUUAAUCACACACAUUUCAUGAACAAUCGUUAAUCACAAUUCAUGAACAAUCACCAAUCAUAUUCCAUGAACAAUCACCAAUCAUAUUCCAUGAACAUUCAUUAAUCACAUUUCAUGGACAAUCAUCAAUCACAUGUGUCAAACAUCAAUUCACAAUUAUUCACACAUACUCACCAAUCACCAAUCACAUUUUCAAAUAUGACUCAUGUCAUGAUAUGCACUUAUUGACACAUAAAUGCAUGUGGUACCAAAUCUCCAAAAGGUCGUCACCUCCAAAUCCAGAUCUCAAAAGAUCUCUGCCAGGCCGAAGCCCUAUAACGAAUAAAACAUCGUAUCCAGAUCUCAAAAGAUCUCUGCNAUGGUAAUGAGAUUCAAUUGUUCAAAUUUUGAUUCAUCAAUUUACCUCAUUGUAUUAUUGUACAAUUUUCUUGAUUACUUGAAAAUGUUAAAUAGGCUUGGAUCUCAUCCCAAAAGUUAGCUCAAAUGAUGAGGGUACUCAAGCAUAUUUAUACAUCCAACAGCCUAAGAACUUGAGCGAUAUAGGACAAAUAACAAACUACAAAUAAUUCAAAACCAACUUCAACAAAAACAACAUAUAUUAAUUAAACAACAGGCCUAACAAAAGCAUAAGAUAUGCUGAUGAAAGGAAAACCAUGAACAUACAUCAUUAUUGAAAUUUGGAUGGAUAUUAAGAAACCCAAUUAUUUAAAGUUGUACAUAAAUGCAUAAUAUCGAUAUUAAGCAGGAAGAGACAUCUUCAAGAAGUCUUUUUCGAAUUUCAAGCUAGAGGCCAUCUUGAAUGUGUUUACUGCUUCAGAGAUAGAGGGAAAACACAAGCCAUAUUUGAGAUUGGAAUUAGGAAAACGAGCACAAUAAUUCCCACUACCCUUUUCUGUGCAUUCAGUAUGAGACCAACAUAACUUAGGUUGUUCCUCUACCUUCUUCUUAAGCUCUGCAGAUGAAUGAGGAGUGACACAUUUAAAGUUAAGCCGCGGAGGAAGUGAUGCAAUAAAGGGUUCGCAGUCACAAUCGCCACUACAAUAAAGUCGAGGGUAAGGGCAAUAAGCGCCACAUUUAUCUGCUUCUACUUUCUUCAUUGGGAAUAUCACUGUAAAUGAUAAAGCUAAUUAAGGAUUGAACAAUAUACACAUACCAUUAUUAACAUUAUUAUAAAAAUAAAAUUAGUUACCAAUUUUAGAUUAAAAAAACUGAAAUUUAUGUGUUUUAAUAGCUUUCAAAAAGAGUCAAACACAAUUCAAACCUCUCAAUUUUGGUGUAUUUCUGACCUUUAGUUGGCAUCAGAGCAAAGUCUCUGAAAUUUUACUUAACCGUGUAAGAGAAAUGAUCCUAAGAAAAAUAUAACCUCCGUUACCUCCAUUCCAAAAAGUGAUUCCAAGAAUGAUUCAUAUAUGUCUAGACUACCUAUGAUCAGUAGUGAUGUAGACAGAGACGGAUCUAGACAUUCGGUAUAUGUGUGACUAAAAUUUUAAAAAAAAAUAAUGCAAACAAUAUGAAAAAUAAGAAAUAACAUUGUUUGAUACAAUACAAUUUCAAUGAAAAUGGUCUCCUAUCCAUUUGUUGAAAAUGCGAAAAUAACGGCGCCGCUAAUUUUUAAAAGAACAUUUCUUUCUAUAUAAGUUACAGUAUAAGAUAGUCAUUUAACCACAAAUCACUUAUUUUGUUGCAUAGUUGAUUGUUCACAAUUUUUGUAGCUGAAAAAACACGUUCAACACUUGCAAUUGCUACCCACAAUAGCAACUAACUUAAAAGCUUAUAAACCAUAACAAAUAUGUUGCACUUAUUUGUUUCGUGGGAGAGAGAAAUGUUUUGAUAUAGUUGUAUGUUUUAUUUAUUAAAAAAAAAAAAAAUAAUUGGGGAGUGGAUGUGUGCCUUUAGCCACACAUGGCCACACAAUGCAUCCGCCUCUGGAUGUAGAAGAGUUGGCUUGAUGGAAAAAACAAACUAUACAGUAUCUGCAUAUACAUGCCACACAUUACUAGAAGAAAAAAAACAAAACUAGCGACAUAAAUUAGUGACAAAAAGAAUGAAAUCCCUCACCAAUUUUAUUCUCGCAUAAUUUAGUAACCUAAUUAAAGAGGAAUUUUAUGUUUUUCAUCUCUUAAUUACACUAGCUAAUUUUUGCAUUUUAGUGACCUAUGACGUGGCUUCAAAGUUGAAACAUAUACUUAAUAAAUUAAUAUUUAGGACAGUGGAUAAUUGAUAAUUGGGAGUAGAUUCCGAUUAAUUUUUCUCAUGAUUUCGAAAAAAUAAGUAGAAAUGCAUGGUAUAUAUAUAGGUGAGAAAGAUGGUUGAAAUACAUACAGAAUGCGGCAAGCAAGAAGACAGCCAAAGGAGCUAGCUUAACAUAAGUCAUUGUUCUAUCAAAAGAAAGAACCAGCUACAAAAUACUAUUGUUUGUUAAUUAUGAGCUCAACUUUGUAUUGCACUAGUUCAUUUCUUGCAUUCAACAAUUUAUAGACAAAAUAAAAGUUAAUUGCUUAUAAAAAAAAUAAAUAAAUAAUUCAGAAGCGAGGGACACGACGUUAAUUGCUUAUGAAAUAAAUAAAUAAAAAAUAAUUGGUCCCCUCUCAUCAAAGAAAAUCUUCUAUCUGCUUAUCUAUAAUUUAGGGUAGAAAAAACACAAGCUUCUAUGUGGUUGAUAGUAGUUUUGCGUAUAAGGCAUCUAUCCUCAAUGGUGCUGCACCAUCCGGUAAAUGAGCACAAUAAUUACCACUACCCUUUUAUGUGCAUUCAGCAUGAGACCAACAUAAGUUAGGUUGUUCCUCAACCUUCUUCUUAAGCUCUGCAGAUGAACGAGGAGGACCACAUAUAUAUUGAGGAACAACUGGAUGCCAAACGUACUCGCAGACACAAUUGCCAGUACAUCUAAAUGCAUAAUCGCAAGGAACACUGAAACAUAUAGCUGCUUCAACUUUCUUCAUUGGAAAUAUCACUAUAAAUGAUAAAGCUAAUUAAGGUUUGAACAACAUACACAUACCAUUAUUAACAUUAUUAUAAAAAUAAAAUUAGUGACCAAUUUUAAAUUUAAAAAAAAAAACUGAAAUUUAUUACUUCCAUCGCUAAAUUUAGUAGAAAAUGAUUUCAUAUUUUCCCUCACUUAAAUUUUGUGGAUAAUUUAAUUAUUCUCAGCCGAGGACAGAAGCAAAAGCAUAUACAAUCCUUUUUGUAGACAACUUGUUGUUGUAUAUAUCUUUAGAUUGAGAUUAGGAAGUCUUAUCGGUUGAGGCACGGAAAUCUUGGACAAGGUUGUCUUAGUGUCGUUGUAAUCAGAAUUUAAUUACAGUGUUCAAAUCUCUUGGAAGUGCAGGGUGAACCACGAUAAACACUAUGUGUUGUCUCUUUCUCGUAUCUUUGUGUUGUCUCUUUUUCGUAUCUUUUUAUUUUUCACUAUCGUUUAUAUGUGUUUUAAAAGAUAUUUCAAAAAGAGUCAAACACAAUUCAAACCUCCUAAUUCUGGUAUUUUUCUCACCUUCAAUUGGCAUCAGAGCAAGGUCUCUGAAGUUUUACUACUUAACCGUGUAAGAAAAAUCCUAAGAAAAACAAUAUUCGUAUUUAUUUAUAUCUCAACAAACAUACACUAAUUUGUCCUUCCAUCAAAUUCAUAUUACAUUAAGGACAACUUAGUCAAAAAAACUGCUUUACUUUAAUUAACUGCGGAUUUGAUCUUCCAUAGGCAUAGAACGUAACAAAGCUAUGCUUUAAUUAUUACAACAAACCCCACAAUUGUUAUCUUGUACUCUUCUUUUGAAUUAUAAUGAAAUGGUAAUGAGAUUCAAUUGUUCAAAUUUUGAUUCAUCAAUUUACCUCAUUGUAUUAUUGUACAAUUUUCUUGAUUACUUGAAAAUGUUAAAUAGGCUUGGAUCUCAUCCCAAAAGUUAGCUCAAAUGAUGAGGGUACUCAAGCAUAUUUAUACAUCCAACAGCCUAAGAACUUGAGCGAUAUAGGACAAAUAACAAACUACAAAUAAUUCAAAACCAACUUCAACAAAAACAACAUAUAUUAAUUAAACAACAGGCCUAACAAAAGCAUAAGAUAUGCUGAUGAAAGGAAAACCAUGAACAUACAUCAUUAUUGAAAUUUGGAUGGAUAUUAAGAAACCCAAUUAUUUAAAGUUGUACAUAAAUGCAUAAUAUCGAUAUUAAGCAGGAAGAGACAUCUUCAAGAAGUCUUUUUCGAAUUUCAAGCUAGAGGCCAUCUUGAAUGUGUUUACUGCUUCAGAGAUAGAGGGAAAACACAAGCCAUAUUUGAGAUUGGAAUUAGGAAAACGAGCACAAUAAUUCCCACUACCCUUUUCUGUGCAUUCAGUAUGAGACCAACAUAACUUAGGUUGUUCCUCUACCUUCUUCUUAAGCUCUGCAGAUGAAUGAGGAGUGACACAUUUAAAGUUAAGCCGCGGAGGAAGUGAUGCAAUAAAGGGUUCGCAGUCACAAUCGCCACUACAAUAAAGUCGAGGGUAAGGGCAAUAAGCGCCACAUUU